This 363-nucleotide ribosomal RNA is filed under the name uncultured bacterium. RNAcentral describes it as "bacterial SSU rRNA". It matches the Rfam family "Bacterial small subunit ribosomal RNA", at positions 43 to 394 of the family's 1533-position model. The record is from RNAcentral.
ACAGGCUUAACACAUGCAAGUCGAGGGGAAACGACAUCGAAAGCUUGCUUUUGAUGGGCGUCGACCGGCGCACGGGUGAGUAACGCGUAUCCAACCUGCCCACCACUUGGGGAUAACCUUGCGAAAGUAAGACUAAUACCCAAUGACGUCUCUAGAAGACAUCUGAAAGAGAUUAAAGAUUUAUCGGUGAUGGAUGGGGAUGCGUCUGAUUAGCUUGUUGGCGGGGUAACGGCCCACCAAGGCUACGAUCAGUAGGGGUUCUGAGAGGAAGGUCCCCCACAUUGGAACUGAGACACGGUCCAAACUCCUACGGGAGGCAGCAGUGAGGAAUAUUGGUCAAUGGACGAGAGUCUGAACCAGCCA